CCCCUCCCCUUUCCCAGGUGAUUGCGUUUGGGUGCUGGGUGGGGACAAAAGGUAUAUGAGCCCCAGGCAUGCCAUCAGAGAGCUCCUUCUGCCUGGGCUGCUCUCUGGGGUAAGUGCUUUGCUUUUCCUUCAGUCAGUUGCAGGGUUCUCUAGGCAGGCUGGAGCCUAUGGAUUUCUGGAUUUUAAGUGCUUGGAAUUCACUUAGUAGAGGGAUGUUUAGUAGGGGCUGCUGGCUCACUGUUUUUUUGGGAUGGUGGGAUACUCUUCUGUUUUUGAGCUAUAUUUUAAUAUCUAGAUGUAUAAACCCACUUGUGUAACUCUCCAGAGGACUAAAACCAGCUUGACUGCAUGCUACAUGUGGCUUGGCAGUGUAGAUGCAGCAUUACUAAGAGACUGAGCAGGGUUGUAUCAGAGUCACCUCUUUCAUCUGCGUAAGUCUGUGACUACCCCUUCCUGGGCUGCUGUGUGUGCAUGUCUUUUUGGCAUUUAUGGAGCUCUGUUUUUUUUUUUGUGUGUGUGUGUAUGUUCAAAGUUUUUUUUUUUUUUUUUUUGAGGGGCAAAUAGCGUGUUUGCUGAGCGUGGUUGGCAGGAGGAGGUGGGGAGCUCCUCAGGACUGGUAGGUUUGGUUUCUAGGAAUAUGAAGCAUCCUUCCUGUGCAAUGCAACUGAUUGUUGGGCGGGAAUGUACCAGCUUGUGUGUCUUAAGCAAUGUAGGUUGUGUACUGUGUGUUGUGUGGCCCGGGCAGAGUUUGCUGUGGUGCUGUGAGCGAAGAAUCUCAGUUAUAGCUGGUGAGCAGCUGAAGUACCGGAGCUGGGAAGAGAGGCAUUGCAGCAGGUACGCUGUGGCUGUGAGGUGCCUCAGAGUGUGCUUUUCUCCUGUCUUUGCAGGUGCUUUGUGCAGUCGUGGACAGGGAAGGGAAAUCCUCAUGUCACGAAGCACUGAGGGAAGGCUGCAAUGCAGUGUGCAGUGCAGGAUGUCUCAACCAGCUGCCUCUGCAGUGACUCUGGUGGAGUGGAUGAUAGUGGCUGCACUGUUGGAGCUUGGUUUCGGAGAGGAACAGGUGAGCAGAACCGUAUGUUGCAUCAGCAGUAGUCAGCAUUGUGGAGAAGGUGGGCAUCAUGGCCGACGUGCUAGUGAAUGCUGGUACUCUGUUUUUUGCAGCUGAUGAUGAGCCUGGCAAUUGACUAAGAUGACAAUCGGUGCCUGUGUAUUUCUUGAGGUGGAAGGAAUUUACCAUCCAACAACCUGAGAGCUAAGUUGGGGGGCGCCUGGUAUUUGCAUAUCUGGGGUGGCUAAUGGGAGCUGGGAGCCAGAGCAGCAUGGAGCCAGCUGGCUGAAUAGACUUGGUGCCACUGUGAGGGUGUUUCAGGCUGGGUCACGUUCAGGCUGCUUGUGGCUGGGUCACCAGGCUAAUAGAAGCAGCGGGAUUAUUUCGUAGCGUGAGUGCGUGUGCCAGGCAGGACAGUUUCCUUCAGUUUGUCUGUCUUGUGGUGUUGCUUCUGCAGUGUGUGUUGUGAGUUAUGGUCUCCUUCGGUCUUGAUAUCCUCAUGGGUUUUGACACUGGACUGACCAGACAGGCGACUUGGUAGCUGUGCUGAAGGGCCUCAAUGCUUGUUUUGUCAUCAUGGCUCUGAUCCGAGCACUUCUUGUCUUGCAGUCGCUGCUUGAAGUGUAGAUGUGUUUCAGGUCUUGUUCAUUGUAUUCGGUUUGAGAUCACAUCUGUUUCCAUCCUCACUCUUGCAGAAGUCAUCUGGGGCACAUCAGGAGCCUUUGCUUGGGAAUUGAUUUCCUCAGUGUCUUCUUAGGGGGUUUUCACUCCCCAUCCUUCUGGUCUCUUGUCUUGAAGGCAGGCUUUUUAGGCCUCCAUCAUCCCAGUUCUGGCAGUUCUUCCAGUCACAUGUUGAGACGUUUGAGUGUCUCCUUGGGUCUGGUGUAGAGCACCUGUUCUGACUUGCUGUUGCCAUAGGGCUUCCCUCUGGGGUCACUUUUUCUUGCGCCUCGUGUUGUGUGUUUUGUUUGUAGUGUUCGUGGCGUGCUUGUGUGUGUAUGUGUUUGGUCUGGAGCUGUCCUGCCUGGCAGUUAGUGAUUAACAUGGCAGGUCAUGGGUGUACUAAUACAUUGUCUGGACUGUGUUUUCGAAGACAUCUGGUCUGCCUCUGGGCACG
RNAcentral lists this long non-coding RNA (2165 nucleotides) under Anas platyrhynchos platyrhynchos (common mallard). RNAcentral's name for it is "lncRNA (ENSAPLG00000019111.1)". Lineage: Eukaryota; Metazoa; Chordata; Aves; Anseriformes; Anatidae. The record is from RNAcentral.